UGAAAAAUCAAAUUUGCCCCCUUAUCCACUACCAAUUUACAA
This 42-nucleotide small RNA is filed under the name Arabidopsis thaliana (thale cress). Its description in RNAcentral is "ATSL139730". The record is from RNAcentral. Lineage: Eukaryota; Viridiplantae; Streptophyta; Magnoliopsida; Brassicales; Brassicaceae.